GCUUUCAGCUGUUCCUCCAAAACACAUCCUGUCUGUAGCCAACUCCCCACCUCCACUCCUGCCUCCACGGCCCACUCACCCCUCCUCUUACCUGAAAGACUGCAAUAGCCUUGUAGUGGGUGUUCCUGCUUUGUUCUCCCCUCACCACAUCCACUCUCCUCAACGCAACCGGAGGAGCUUUAAAAAUGUUAAUCAGAUCAAGUUUCUCCAUAGCUUAAAACCCCAUCCACCACCUGCAAGGCUGUCUGUGAUCCAGUCCCUCCCUACUUCUCCACCCUGACCUCCUCUCUGUUCCCGGAACAGCACCAAAUUCACUUCUGGCUCAGGGCCUUUGCACAUGCUGUUCCCUGCCCUCCUUCUCUCAACAGGCUUCUUGUAUCAUUCAAAUCUCAAGUCAAAUGUAACCCUUUCAGAGAAGGCUUUCUUCACUCCCACUCCUAGCCACUCUGUCAUAUCACCCUUGCACUCACCACAGUAAUUGCCUUGUUCUUUAUCGAUUUCCUGCCUCUCUACACUUGAUUGAAAACUCCUUGAGAGGGGGCCACGUUUCCCUCAUUUACUGCUGACUCCCCAGCACCUAAAGUAAUGCUUGGCCCACAGGGUGUAUUACAUGCCUGAUGGUGCGGUUUCCUAUGAAUAUUGUGGAAAGAGAAAAUGAAGGAGUGAGUGAAUUAUUCUUUAUCAAAAACAAAGCACCAAAAUUUUCUCUCAAAGCAGAAACUGGACAGUUAAAACACAGAAACAGAAUUUAAUGAGUUUGUAAUGAGACAGUGAGCUCCGUGAGAGUAGCUCCCACCUCUCCUGUUAAUGAUAUAUACCAGGGCCCAGAGCAAAACUUGGUACAGAACUGACACCAUGUAGGGAACAAACCAGACCACGGACCAGGCCACGUUAGGGGUUGGUGUGUUUCUGGGUGGAAGAGCCUGCUCAGCCAGGGCCGGCAGGGCAAGCUGUCCUCUCUGAGCCGACAGGGAAGCCUGGCGACGCUGGGGAAUUUGAGAGUCCCCGCCUGGCAUGCACUCCCCUUGAAAGGAUUGUCAGGAAACUGGAGGCCUCUCUGAAUUUGGAGAGGAUGAUUUAGUUCCUACUUGAUUGCUCUCCUCCUAACUCCCUCUCUCCAUGAAGCUCCUUGAAUAUAAAUUCAGGAAUUUAUCAUCGUAGCAUUAUUGUCUGCUUCUAACCAGUAACUCCUCCUUUAUAAAAAUGGGGGCUCUGGACUAGAUCUCUCAAUUCCCUUCAGAGCCAACAUUUGAUGGUUUUAAGUGAAAAUGUGUUCCACCUGGAACCAAGGGGCGUUCAGCUCAAGCCUCUAAAAAACACAGUUCAAGCUUAACUGGAAGGACCUGGAGAGCUAGUCACAGCCGCUGCCUCACAGCAGGUCCCAGGUAACGAGGCCCCUCUCACCUGACCUGAGCGUGGUAGGAGACAGCACGUGAUGAUUCUGAAGCCCAUAUCCUGUCCCCUCCAGGGCUUGGCAUUCUGUUUCCUGGAACUUCUCCGCUCUAAGCGGAGAUACUAUUAAAGAAUGUUUUAAACUGAGGAAUGAGAAAUAUUCUCCACGUGAGUUUUUAAAGUCCACGUGUGAGACUGGUGGUUCUUAAGCUCAAAGUCACCUGCAGUGCUUGUUAAAAUUGCAGUCUGCGGCUCAAUUCCAGCGCUCUGACUCAGUGGAUUUGCAUUUCCAGAGCUUCUAGGUGAUUCUGGAGCAAAUUUGUGGUGGAAAACUACCUGGUGCUACCUGGUAUGUAGGAGGCUGCGCUCCGCAGGGACCUGGCCUUAAACAGGCUCGGAGCCCCGCCCUCGCUGGCUUCCUGUGGCCUGUGAGGCCCGGGGAUCCGAGCAGCCUCUUCACUGACCGGCUUCAGGCCACUGGGUUCCACAAUUGCAUCAGUGAUCCGAACAGCCUGUCUCCUCAGUGCCAAACAGCUGGACACUUAGAGAGGGGAGGCCAUUCAUGUCCAGACAUACAGGGCUGGUGAACACAUGCAGGUCCCGGGAGGAUGGCAUGCCCAGAGAGCAUCAGAGCACGGUGCCCUCCCCACACAUAUGUUACGCUGUGCAUCUCUUCCAUCUGGCUGUUGCUGAGUCACAGAAAAAACCUCCUUUUCCUCGAUGGAGGAAAACAGCUACCCUUCAUGUGCAAACCCUGCAAAGUUCUCAGCCAAAGCAGCAACGAUCUGUGUUCAUUGCUUCAUCCCUGCAUGUGAGACAUGAGGCAGAAUAUGUCCUCCUACAGGAGAGAAAGGACGGUGGGGGCUGUAGGCGGUCCUGCACCUCUACAAAGGAAGCAUGCCGGGCCGCUGCUUAGAAUGCAGAUGUUGAUGACAAAAGUUGGAGCCACGAUCUUGGACCACAGUAUGGAGACUGUAUAUUGAAGAUGGCAGAGGAGUGGUAUAGAGGGAGUCUAGUCAGUGAUAAUUACAGAGCCGCAAUAACAAUCCUGGUCUGCCUCCCUAGCAUUUAAUGCACGGGACAAAUAAAUCUUAACGUUGCUUAAACCACUGUCAAUUUUGAGUUUCCCGACACUCAGCUGGAUAGAAUCCUAUCUAUUGCACAGGGAUACCUCCAUUCUUUGUCCCCGUCUCUCCCUACAUAAAGUCAUUGCCCUUUUCUGCAUUCUCUUCUUUUACUUCUACAUAUUUCAUCCAAAUGGAUUCAAAUUACACGUAUGUCUCAUUAAUGGCAGAUCACCAAAGGGGUGGAAAGCCAGCCUGGGACCUCUGGAGAGGGCAAUUAUGAGUUGGAGCCAAGGACCAGGCUCUGAGAGGCAACGUUCUUGGUCCUGGCCAGCAGAGAGGGAGUGGUUUAAACCCAGUUCUUCCUGCUCAGUUAGCCUCCCUGCCCAUUUAUGAGGCAAAGCGUGAGUCUUGCCAACAAAAUCUUCUUUCCAAGAAAAUAAGUUCAAGUCAUCCUACUUCUCUGGUUUCUCGCCUGCCAUCAUUCCCAGAAAGAUGUACAUGAUGUGGCUGUCAUGAAACAUCUGUCUCUAGUCCCACCAAAAGGACCA
RNAcentral lists this long non-coding RNA (3007 nucleotides) under Equus caballus (horse). Its description in RNAcentral is "lncRNA (ENSECAG00000060203.1)". Lineage: Eukaryota; Metazoa; Chordata; Mammalia; Perissodactyla; Equidae. The record is from RNAcentral.